This 439-nucleotide ribosomal RNA is filed under the name uncultured bacterium. Its description in RNAcentral is "partial 16S ribosomal RNA". It matches the Rfam family "Bacterial small subunit ribosomal RNA", at positions 339 to 795 of the family's 1533-position model. The record is from RNAcentral.
CUACGGGGCGCUGCAGUGAGGAAUAUUGCGCAAUGGGGGGAACCCUGAUGCAGCAACGCCGCGUGGAGGAUGACGCAUUUCGGUGUGUAAACUCCUUUUAUAUGUCAAGAAAAUGACGGUAGCAUAUGAAUAAGCACCGGCUAACUCCGUGCCAGCAGCCGCGGUAAUACGGAGGGUGCAAGCGUUACUCGGAAUCACUGGGCGUAAAGGACGCGUAGGCGGGUUGGAAAGUCAGGUGUGAAAUCCUACAGCUUAACUGUAGAACUGCACUUGAAACUUCUAAUCUAGAGUAUGGGAGGGGGAGAUGGAAUUAGUGGUGUAGGGGUAAAAUCCGUAGAUAUCACUAGGAAUACCUAAAGCGAAGGCGAUCUCCUGGAACAUUACUGACGCUAAGGUGCGAAAGCGUGGGGAGCAAACAGGAUUAGAUACCCCCGUAGUC